AUCUAUCUAUCUAUCUAUCUAUCUAUCUAUCUAUCUAUCUAUCUCUAUGUACAGUAGAGUCUCACUUAUCCAAGCUAAACGGCCCAGCAGAACCUUGGAUAAGCGAAUAUCUUGGAUAAUAAGGAGAAAUUAAGGAAAAGCCUAUUAAACAUCAAAUUAGGUUAUGAUUUUACAAAUUAAGCACCAAAACAUCAUGUUAUACAACAAAUUAGUAGUUCAAUACUCAGUAAUGUUAUGUUGCGAUUACUGUAUUUACGAAUUUAGUACAAAAAUAUAAUGAUAUAUUGAAAAUAUUGACUGCAAAAAUUGCUUGCAUACUCCAGAAACUUGGAUAAGCGAGGCUUGGAUAAGUGAGACUCCACUGUAUUAGGUAUUUUUUCUCUAGGACCCUUUGAGCUUUGUGGAGACAACAUAUUUCUGUUUAAGAUUAAUGUAGUUUUUUUCUUUGGUGAAGCCAUGGUGAAAAAUUUGUUCACCAUGGCUUCUCAUCCCACACUGGACUGAAUGGGGUUUGGGUUAAUGUACAGCUUCUGUAAACAAAUGCUCCAUUAUUAAUCUCAGGGCAGCUGCGUUACAAGAUGAGCACAGACUCGUGGGCAAAAGCAUUUUAUGCUUUUCAUGAUAAUUGUGGCAAACAUAUGAACAACUGUUUUAUAUGCUUUGAGGAUAAUUUUCUUACGUCAGGCAAUUCUUUAGCAAUUUCAAGGCAAAGCGUAACAUGAUACACUUGUCGCAUACACUCUGGGAUUUUAAGCUAUUUGUGCAAACCCUCAUUGUUUGCUCACAAUUUUUCCAGAACACAUUCAAGUAUCCUUUCAGUCCCAAAUGCACAACUGUCCUGUGUUGAUUUGGAGGGCACUGUUUACAGUAGUCACAAAUAGGAUGGAAAGCACACCAAGGUUGUGUUGGUACUGGACAGAAUAUCAAAGUUGACAACCUGACAGAACCAUGUUUGUUUGGUCUGCACUAUUUCACUGUUGUGUGCCUUCUAAUCAUUUCCAGCCUAUGGCAACUGUAAAUCAAACCUAUGGGUUUUUCUGGGGUAGACAGUCACCAAGGACACCCAGUGGGUUCUCAUGGCUGAGCAGGGGAUUGAUCCCGUUUCCAGAGUCAUGGUCCACUAAUGCACUACUAACCUUUAUAUGUUUCCCAUACAUAGGAGCCUCAUAUCCUCAAUUUAAAUCACAGAUUUUCUUUUCUGUCUUCAGUUUCUACACCUACUUUCUGCAAAACAGAAAGGUGUUCUUUUGUUCCUCCCUGAGAUGACAUAUCAUGUUAAUCCGAUGCAGUUUUUGACAAAAAUUUAAUAGAAAUUGUGGUCAAAAGGCAACAAAGUUUUCCAGAGCUGCAUUCUGAAUGUGAGAGUGUAACUUGGCCAAGAUCACCAGUGAGUUUUCUUAGCAGACCCAGGAUCCAAAUGAUGGCCUCUCACUCUUAUUCCAACAUUUAAACAACUAUAUGACACUGACUCCAAGGAAACAUGCAUAUUGAACAUGGUUUAUUAUUCUUUCAUUACUGGGCAUCCCAAAGGCCAUAGGAUUGUAUUCAAUGUUAACGUUGCCUAAGGCAUUCUGCCCCACUUUAUUCACUUAAGGAUUCAGCUGAAGAAACACCACCAACCUGUAUGGAUGGCUGUUACUCCAAUUUUUCAGAAGACAGAUUGAGGCUGAAAGAUGUAACACUACUCCAUUUCUCCAGGACUUGGAUCAAGAAUUUUACAGUUAGUUUCUAGUCAUAACUGACCUAUUAUCACACUUCUUUUAUAGCAAGCCAGUAAUAACAUUCCAACAAGGCUGAGUGUCUGUGUUAGCAUUUUUAAUAUAAAAGACUUGCAUUCCCUCCCACUGCUUUUUUAAGAUUAUUUUUUAAAAACAUUUUGUGAUUUUUUGGGCUGUGAUCUCCUCCAAAUUCUCCCGGUGCUAUUCCCUUUGCAGAGGUUUAAGCCAUAUAGAAUUAAUCCUUUCUUCGGGUAUCUUAAGUGAAAAUAAAGAGGCCAACACUGCUAAAAUAAUGAACGCUCUGUUUAUGUCAUACCAUCUGGACACUUGGAGGUUUGAAUUGCUACAAACCCCUGCGUUAAGUGGCCUUGAUUCCUAUGCCUGUGGAAAAGACCAGACACAAAUUAUCCUCUUCCUGUUGUACCAAUUAAAAUCCACAGGUGCAACCCAACUGUAAUCAGAAGCUCCGCAGAGAGGUAUGCUCCGGAGACUCAUUGUAUAAUACAUAUGCAGGAGGGUUAUUUUUCCUGUGUCACGGGCCCCCGAGAUCUUCCCCCAAAUUUAGGCACCAGAUUGUCAGUGCAAAACCUCAUAAAACAACAAAGACAGGAACUUGGCUGUUAAGACUAACCAGAAAGUGUGAGUUUUGCCUUAAUAAUCUAGUCUCUCACUCCAGGGCUAUAUGUAUGAAACAGACUUGCUGGGUGUCUCUAAAGACCAUCCAUGCCCUCUAUUAAACAGCUGCAUUGCAGAAAGGGAGCAUGCAGAGCCCAGAGCAGGAAAUGACUCUCCAAGGAAGCAAGCCACACACGACCCAGAAGAAUAAGUCGAAGUGGGGAAGAAGGAGAGGCGGAUGAAGACUAUCAAAUCUUUUUUGUAAAUGUCCCACCUUCCGCCUGGUAGGUUUGAAGAGCAGAAGUAAGAAGGUAAGAGCCAUGUAGGGUCAAAGCAAGGGCUCAUCCAAUCUACUACUAUGUUCCCAUAGCGGCAGACAUAUGAGUAAUUACAUGUAGACCAUUGUUGUGCGUGAGUGGGAUGAAGUUGUGUGUAGAGUUUUGGUACAUGGCAUGCGUUUGAUACACCAAUACAUGUCAUCAAGAAGAUUUUAGCUGCAGUGUUUUUCUGUAAGCACCCUCAGUUUCCUUCUGUGAUAUUGAUAUCUUUUUUUGUUUGUAGGGUCAAAACAGUAUUUGGUAUUUCUGACUCCAGGUCAAUAUGUGCUUUGCUUCUUGGGCAUUAUUUAAUUAUCCAGUGCAUGCCCAGGCCUCAAAAGAAAAAUGUUGGACAUUUGGUAUAGCAGAGUGAUUAUGAAGUGAUACCAAUUAAGUUGUUUUGAAACACUGAGUUUACACAUUCCUUAAUUCAACAUAUCUUUUUACUAGUUUUUUACUAUAACACUAGUUAUACUUUGGACAUACCAAAGGAGAAAAAUAAGGCUACAUGUCUGCCCAGUUUUUUCUGGAGUGGAAGAACCCUAUAAAACCAAAAGUGUACCUGGCUGAGAAUUUAGCUUUUCUGACAUGCAAAUCUGAUGAUGUGAUAAACACUUCUUCUGAACACAAUCAAGUUAAUUAAAGUAAUUCUUGUGAAACAAGUGUGUAUAAAUACACACACUUGUGUCACAAGAAUUACUUUAAUUAACUUGGAAAAUGUGAAAAGAUGCAAACAAAAUCAAUAAUAUUAAGUAUGAGGGGAAGCACAGACUGGUUAACUUGCAUGUCAUGCUAAAUUUAGUGAAGGAAUAGGGGAUAUUUGUCGUGAUGAUUUAUAAAGGGAGGAACAACUUUAAUUGAUAAGAGAUUUCUCUCAAACAAUAUUUAUUUGAAAUUUCAAAGAAGUAGCACACCACCUGGCUAUUGGGAUAAUUGUCAAUUGUCACAUCAGCAAAAUAGGAAUUAGCUAAUAAUUUAUGUGCACAAUUUCCUUGUAUCCAGAUCCUAGGCCGUAUUUUCCCAUUGUGGUUUACCUUAUGGCAAGCUGGCUUAGCUAUGCACUGUAUUGGUUUUCUGCAUAGGAGAAUGCAAGGCCAUUCAUUCUUUGGAAAUCUCAUACUAAGAAAGGUAUUUCCUACUAGUAAAAAAGCCUAAGCUCAGUUCCACAGUUUCAGAUUCAACAUAGUGCAAAAUUUUUCACAACUUGCCAGGACCAACGUUCAAUAGGAUUCAGUACAUAAGUGGACUUUUAACAAUGUGACAAAUCAUGUAUUCAAUAACUUGGCAUAAAUAGAGAAAAUUUGAUCUUGAAAUCAGCUGCUAGUAAUGCAUGUGCAACAGUUCAAUACCUGCACAGUCAGUGUCAAUAACACCCCAAAGAUACCAAGAGAGGCUGUACUGGGUUACAAAGAACAUGACUUAAUAUGAUUAAACAUAAAUGUAUCAUUUCAAGCAGUUCCGUACAGCUUUCACAACUUCUUCUAAAAUGUUGUCUCUGUUCUCCUUUGUAAUCUAAAAGCAGAAAAAGAAGUAAGAUAUCAACAUAUAAAGAAUUUGGACUGGUAAUUACUGUCAAUUCGUCCACUUAAAACAAUUUUUUGCACUACAUGAUUGAAAAAAUAGGGACAAAUUCUUUGAAAGGUGAAGACGGAUGUGUCCAUGAUUAGAAGAACAAAGCCUGAGGAAUGCAGAACUCAAGUAUUUCUUCUUUAAAGACAUAUAGGAAUCCUUUCAAAUUUUAUACUGGGAGAACAUUCCUUCUGACCCUAUGGCACCUAAAUGCAAAUUAUUUCAGAUAUUGUAAUAUAAUCAGGUUUUAAAAAUUGCACAUCCUUUCACAGAUGUGAAAAUAUGCAGUCUGCUACAGUUGAUAUGGAUGGCAUAGUACCAAGCCAGAAAAGAUAUGGAAGAUUUAUCCAUUGUGAAUACACAAGUUUUGUGCCAUGCUUGCAAAGAGGGAAAAUAUGGUCCUGGGUAUACACAUAAUGUUCCUUUUAGAGUGCUGAAACAAUCCGCAGACAAAACACUGAAGAGCUCCAAAGGGAAUGCUUGACAGCAUCCCAACAACGCAUCGACUCAAUCAGCAAGAACUAAAUUAGGCAACUGGAAGAUGGGAUAGUGGCAAACAGGGCCGUGAAUAGCAAGGAGAGAUCAGCUUGCAAAAUCACGUUGAGAUGGUCUCUGGUGUGCUUCAGAAAAAAAAGAAAGAGAAUGAGAUGGAAAGUGGAGCUACAAAUCAAUAUCCUUUGAAGCUUUCACCCAAAUAAAUUGACAUGAAUAAAUUUAAAACAUCUUGGGUAUUCGCCAGUAUUGAUUUUGCAUCCAGGACUUCUGGUUUCAUGAGGCUUAAUAUAAAGACAACCUGACAUGCUAGCCAGGAACAAACAAAUGCGAGAUGGUGAUAGGCAGACAAAAGAAAGAAGUGUCUUGCAACAGACACAAGCGCUGAGGAGAAAACAUGAUGGGAAGCAGAGCUGAUAGUAUCCCAAGGGCCUGGAAGAUGCUAUAGAGUCUAGAUGUGAAGUUGCUAAACUCUGGUCCUGGCUCCAAAGAAUUUGAAUAUUUUUGAAGUUCUGGUGGCAAAUAAAAACCAACAAAGGUGCUGCAUGUAUUAUAGUCAUACCUCAGUUAAGAAAGCCUCUGAA
Long non-coding RNA from Anolis carolinensis (green anole), 5295 nucleotides. RefSeq lists it as uncharacterized. NCBI's taxonomy places the organism in Eukaryota, Metazoa, Chordata, Lepidosauria, Squamata, Anolidae. The transcript is spliced from 2 exons. The record is from RefSeq and is a predicted model, not a curated record.